CAGUAGCCGCGGUAAUACGUAGGUGGCAAGCGUUAUCCGGAAUUAUUGGGCGUAAAGCGCGCGUAGGCGGUUUCUUAAGUCUGAUGUGAAAGCCCACGGCUCAACCGUGGAGGGUCAUUGGAAACUGGGAAACUUGAGUGCAGAAGAGGAAAGUGGAAUUCCAUGUGUAGCGGUGAAAUGCGCAGAGAUAUGGAGGAACACCAGUGGCGAAGGCGACUUUCUGGUCUGUAACUGACGCUGAUGUGCGAAAGCGUGGGGAUCAAACAGGAUUAGAUACCCGCGUAGUCCCUGUCUCUUAUAA
This 301-nucleotide ribosomal RNA is filed under the name uncultured bacterium. RNAcentral describes it as "partial 16S ribosomal RNA". It matches the Rfam family "Bacterial small subunit ribosomal RNA", at positions 509 to 809 of the family's 1533-position model. The record is from RNAcentral.